This 445-nucleotide ribosomal RNA is filed under the name uncultured bacterium. RNAcentral describes it as "SSU rRNA". It matches the Rfam family "Bacterial small subunit ribosomal RNA", at positions 26 to 518 of the family's 1533-position model. The record is from RNAcentral.
AGAGCGAACGCUGGCGGCAGGCCUAACACAUGCAAGUCGAGCGCCCCGCAAGGGGAGCGGCAGACGGGAGAGUAACACGUGGGAACGUACCCUUUGGUUCGGAACAACACAGGGAAACUUGUGCUAAUACCGGAUAAGCCCUUACGGGGAAAGAUUUAUCGCCAAAGGAUCGGCCCGCGUCUGAUUAGCUUGUUGGUGAGGUAACGGCUCACCAAGGCUACGAUCAGUAGCUGGUCUGAGAGGAUGAUCAGCCUCACUGGGACUGAGACACGGCCCAGACUCCUACGGGAGGCAGCAGUGGGGAAUAUUGGACAAUGGGCGCAAGCCUGAUCCAGCCAUGCCGCGUGGAUGAUGAAGGCCCUAGGGUUGUAAAGUCCUUUCGACGGGGAAGAUAAUGACGGUACCCGUAGAAGAACGCCCCGGCUAACUUCGCGCCAGCAGCCGC